Molecule: long non-coding RNA, 2721 nt
Organism: Ruditapes philippinarum (Manila clam)
Lineage: Eukaryota; Metazoa; Mollusca; Bivalvia; Venerida; Veneridae
Exons: 2
Source: RefSeq, a predicted model, not a curated record
UAGUUUUUAGCUCGACUUUUCUAUGAAAAGGGGAGCUAUCCUACUCGCCCCGGCGUCGGCGUUGGCGUCACACCUUGGUUAAGUUUUUCGUACCACCCCACUUUAUUUCAGAAGUAUUACAAGUAUGGCUUUGAAACUUACCAUACUUGUUCACCAUCAUAACCUCCAUCUACAGACAAGAGUACAUAACUCUGUCAAGGUUUUUGACAGAAUUAUGGCCCUUUUUUGACUUAGAAAGUGUAUUGAGCUUGGUUAAGUUUUUUGUACCACCUCACUUUGUUUCAAAACCAUUGGAGGUAUUGCUUUGAAACUGACCAUACUUGUUUACCAUCACGACCUUCAUCAACAGACAAGAGGACAUAACUCUGUCAAGGUUUUUGACAGAAUUAUGCCCCUUUUUGACUUAGAAAAUACAUUGAAUAUGGGUAAAAUCCACUUAUUGCCUUAACCCUUUGAGAUAUUGCUUUGAAACUUUUAAUGCUAUUUCACAUCAUUACCCCCAUCUGUACGCAAGAGAAGGUAACUCUGUCAAGGAUUUGUUUUAAAAAUUAAGGCCUUUUAUCGACUUAGAAUCUUGGUUAAGUUUUUUGUACCACCUCACUUUAUUUCAAAACCAUUGGAGGUAUUGCUUUGAAACUGACCAUACUUGUUUACCAUCACGACCUUCAUCAACAGACAAGAGGACAUAACUCUGUCAAGGUUUUUGACAGAAUUAUGCCCCUUUUUGACUUAGAAAAUACAUUGAAUAUGGGUAAAAUCCACUUAUUGCCUUAACCCUUUGAGAUAUUGCUUUGAAACUUUUAAUGCUAUUUCACAUCAUUACCCCCAUCUGUACGCAAGAGAAGGUAACUCUGUCAAGGAUUUGUUUUAAAAAUUAAGGCCUUUUAUCGACUUAGAAUCUUGGUUAAGUUUUUAGUACCAGUCCACUUUUUGACUGAACUGUUUGAGAUAUUAAUUUGAAAGUUGGAAUACUUGUUUACAAUCAUGAUUCCCAAACAUGUCCAGGAGAAGGUAAUUCUGUCAAAGAUUUUAUUUGAAUUAUGGCCCUUAACUGUCAAUGUUUUGUAUUAUAGGCAAGCACUAAAAAACUUAAAAAAUCUAAAAAAAUUCAUUCCUAUCCACUUGUUCACUCUCAAAGUGAGUUUAAUACUAUUAAAUUUAUUUAAGGCUCAACUCAGUUUUUUUUUCUUUCUUACCAGCCCUCUUUUGACUUAAACAUUUCAAACUUUGCUGCAGUGUUCAAGGGUAUCACACAAUUCAGUAAAAUAAUUCUUCACUAAAUAUCUUAAUGCUCAUGGCCAUUGUUCACUUUAAAAAUACAGAGAUUCUUGUAUUGCCUUUUACUGCAAAAACUUUUUUUAUUGGCAAGCAAUAAAAAAGUCGAGCGCGCUGUCUUACGGACAGCUCUUGUUUUAUGCCCCCGCCAUGUAAUGGCCGGGGCAUAUAGUGUUACCCUGUUCCGUCAUUCCGUCCUUCCGUCCUUCCGUCAUUCUGUCAUUCCGUUAUCAUCAGUUUCCGUUCAUUAUCUUAAGAACGGUUGGACAUAUUCAACUCAAAUUUGACAUAUGGAUAUGUCAUGAGAAAAUACAGGUCAAGUUCGAAUUUGGUCAUGGUUCGAUGAUUUUUGGCAGAGUUAUGCCCCUUUUACUUUGAAAAUAAUAUGAAAUUUCAGUUUCCGUUCAUUAUCUUAAGAACGGUUGGACACAUUCAAUUCAAACUUGACAUAUGGAUAUGUCAUGAGAAAAUACAGGUCAAGUUCGAAUUUGGUUAUGGUUCCAUGAUUUUUGGCAGAGUUAUGCCCCUUUUACUUUGAAAAUAAUAUGAAAUUUUCAGUUUCCGUUCAUUAUCUCCCCAACGGUUCAACACAAUCAACUCAAACUUGACAUAUUGAUAUGUCAUGAAAAAAUACAGGUCAAGUUUGAAUUUGGUCAUGGUUCGAUGAUUUUUGGUAGAGUUAUGCCCCUUUUACUUUGAAAAUAAUAUGAAAUUUUCAGUUUCCGUUCAUUAUCUCCCUCAAGGUACAACACAUUCAACUCAAACAUGACAUAUGGAUGCAUCAAAGGAAUGCGCAGGUCAAGUUCAAAUUUGGUCAUGGUUCAAUGAUUUUUGGCAGAGUUAUGCCCCUUUCACUUUGAAAGUAAUAUGAAAUUUUCAGUUUCCAUUUAUUAUCUCCCCAACGGUACAACACAUUCAACUCAAAUUUGACAUAUGGAUAUGUUUUUGGAAUGCGCAGGUCAAGUUCAAAUUUGGUCAUGGUUCAAUGAUUUUUGGCAGAGUAAUGCCCCUUUCACUUUGAAAAUAAUAUGAAAUUUACAGUUUCUGUUCAUUAUCUACCCAACAGUGUCACAUAUUCAACUUUAAUUUGACAUAUGGAUAUGUCAAAGGAAUGGGCAGGUCAAGUUGGAAUUUGGUCAUGGUUUGAUGAUUUUUGACAAACUUAUCUUUCCUGAAUGUUGGAAAAAUUUUGAACUUUCAGUUUCACCACUCAUUCUUUUAGCCAUUAUUUUGGCUACAAAUAUGCAAUAUGCUAUUUCUAAAAGGUUAAGACUGAAUAAUUUCAGUGCCUUGAACAUUGUAUGGAAAUGGUUUGUGUUAACAUUGAAAAGUUUUAAGGGCUUUGAACUUAAAAUGAAAAAAAUAAUUAAUGCACCAUCUGAAAUUUUGGCUGCAUGCGGGGGCAUCCGUGGCAUGAUGACACAUUUCUAGUUUUCAAUAUGAUUC